GAUGGAUGAACCAGUUAAGUUCAACUCAUUUUACAUUGUACGAUUUACUGUAAGCCUAAAAAUAUAAGUUUAAAUCGAAGAAUCAGUGAAUAUGAAUUAAUGGACUUUACUAAAUAUGUCAUCAAUCAUAGUCUAUUUUGAACAGCUAGGAAGACCGAAAAAGAAGUACUGGAUAGAGGCUAGGGAGAAGAAGCAUAGUCUACAUUAAAUGUAAUGACAGUGAAAAAUGUACAUAAUUACACACAGGUAAAUAUAGGUGUAUUAAAUGUAAUUACAGUGAAAAAUAUACAUAAUUACAUAUAGUUAAAUAUAGGUAUAUUUUAAUAAUUACUGAUUAGCAAACAAAAUCAAUUUUGUCAGUUUUUGACGUUUACUAACUGCAAAAUUGUUUGAAGUUGUUUUUCCCAAUGAUUUAAGCCUAACACUCAGG
This is a long non-coding RNA of Myzus persicae (green peach aphid), 430 nucleotides long. RefSeq lists it as uncharacterized. The record is from RefSeq and is a predicted model, not a curated record. The transcript has 2 exons. Lineage: Eukaryota; Metazoa; Arthropoda; Insecta; Hemiptera; Aphididae.